Lathyrus oleraceus (garden pea) is the source of this 4282-nucleotide RNA transcript. It is a transcript of the gene named SNF2 domain-containing protein CLASSY 3, with no coding region annotated. The transcript is spliced from 5 exons. Lineage: Eukaryota; Viridiplantae; Streptophyta; Magnoliopsida; Fabales; Fabaceae. The record is from RefSeq and is a predicted model, not a curated record.
GGUUUGGCGCGCGACAAUAACUUACUUGAGUACUUUGUUUUUUUCUCUGUUUAUCUAACACGCUAACAUGAGUUUCUUUUUCCAUUAACAUCUUCUUAUAGUAUACCAUGACAUCACAUUUCUAACAUUGUCUUCAUUCAUCUUUUGUUCUUUUCCUCUCACAAACCAAACGUUUUUUUUCUCUCUUUCUGUUGUUGUGAUGAUGGUAGGAGUUUCAAGUAGAACUCGCAGCAAGAACGUUCCUCUCUAUGGUAGUCUUUCCCUUCAUGGAUCAUCAAAGCGGAGAAAGAGCAAGGAAGACGAUACGUGUUUUGCUGCUUCUUGUUCUAAACAAAGAAAGGCAAAGAAAGAACCAUUUGUGUUGCCUCCAGAUGCUAAAGUUAUUUACAUUGAUGAUGAAAAUGGAGAUGAUGCCGUAGAGAAAAAGUCCGAGUCUUGUGCUGCGGAUAUUAAAGAAGAAGUGGAAAAUGGGGAGUUUGUUGAUGAAAAGCCGUCUGUUGUAUGUUUAGAUGAAUCAGGUGAAAGCUAUGAAGAAGAUUCAGAUUGUGAUGAAAGUGAAGAAAAUGAGUCAAGUGAUGAAGAUUUUAGCAUAAAUGAAGUGAAUGAGGUUUCUGAGAGUGAUGAAGAUGGUGGUUCAUCUUGCUCUUCUUAUGUGGAUGAGGCUAAGAGAAACAGUUCACGGAAAUACCUAGAAGUGGUGGCGGAGAUGGUGAGAAAGGUAAAGGAUGAUGAAAAUAGUGACAUUCCAAAGAAAAAGAUUAAGAGUAGUGAUGAUGAAAAAAGUGAAAUUCCAAAGAGGAUGAAGAUUAAGAGUAGUGAUGAUGAAAACAGCGAAAUUUCAAACAAGAAAAAGAUUAAGAGUAGUGUAAAAACAACUACUGGUGUUUUAGAGAAGAAGGGUGUUUUUCAUCCAAUGGAGGGUUGUUGUUCUUCCUCUAAACUGGAUAUAGCAUCAGAGACAAAAAAGGAAAAAAAUGUCUCUGAUGUUAAUGUGUUAAAAUCCAAAGGCAAAGGUAGAGUUAAGCAUGAUGAAAGUGUGAAUCUCGGUGAUUCUGAAGAAGGAAAAGAACAAAAAGUUAGAGGUUUAGGGGAUGGGGAAGGAAGAGUUUCUAUGAAUCAAACAGAAGAGAAAGUGAUCAAGAACAAAGGAAGAGAUUAUAAAGAUAAAGCCAGCGUCCAAAAUGACAAGAAAAAGGCAACAGUUGCUAACAAAGGUUUGAAUCAGAGGGGCAAAAACACGCUUUUUAUGGCGAAGGAAUUGCGUUUAUUCGAACUCCUUGCUGAAUUCUACUUUGGCAACAAAAGUAAUACAGUCAAGAAUGACUCAACUCCGAAUGAUGGUGUUAGUCGUUCAGAAACACGGCCACCAACAGCUUCUGUGGAGACACCUCCAUUGAUAUGGAGCCUUAAAAAGAGGGAAGUAGUGCAGAAGACGAAGGAGGAGGAGGAGCUGGCUAAGUUAUGGGAUGAAAUGGAGAGAUCGCUGAGAGAAAUGGAAGCCGAAUCCAUGAUUGGGAAAUAUGAAACUAGUCAUAAGAAUAUAAGAAAUCCAUCCAUUAGCUGCGAGCACGACCUUCGUCUCAACGAGGAGAUUGGUGUAUGCUGCAGAUUAUGCCACUGGGUCAAAACCGAGAUCAAACAUGUCUCCGAACCAGUAGUGGAUAAAUUUCCCAAUGAAGUUUCUAGAAAAAGUGCUCCAUUUGAUGAUGUAAAUGUCUCGCACUUUGAUGGAUCUCAGUUCAAACUUUCUGAUAAUGAUUCAAAGUCCAAUUUCCUUCACAGUGAAGGCAUUGUUUGGGACCUGAUACCUGAUGUGAAGCAUACCUUGUAUCCUCACCAACAAGAAGGCUUUGAAUUCAUCUGGAAAAACUUGGCAGGAAGCAUCGAUCUUCACAAGUUAAAGAACGCAGAUCCUCAACGCGAGGGUGGCUGCAUUAUCUCGCACGCUCCUGGAACUGGAAAGACUAGAUUGACCAUAGUCUUUCUCGGAGCUUAUCUGAAAGUUUUCCCGAAAUGCUUGCCUGUUAUAGUUGCUCCAGCGAGUUUAUUGCUUACUUGGGAGGAGGAGUUCAAAAAAUGGGACAUUGGAGUUCCAUUUCAUAAUUUGAGCAAUCUUGAGUUAUCAGGUAAAGAGCAUGGUGAUGCCCUUCAUUUGCUUAGUCGGUCUAAUAGUGCGGAUACAACGCGGAUGGCAAAACUGAUUUCGUGGAACAAAGAAAGGAGCGUUUUAGGAAUCAGUUACAAUUUGUACGAGAAGUUAGCCGGAGGAGGAGGAUCUUAUGACGAGAAAAAUAAAAAACAAGAAAUUAUGGGAAAUGUUUUACGUGAGAAACCGGGUGUGCUCGUGCUAGAUGAAGGACACACUCCGAGAAAUAAGACAAGUGGUAUUUGGAAGGUGUUGUCGAAGAGUCAAACAAAGAAACGGAUUAUACUUUCGGGAACUCCUUUCCAGAACAAUUUCUUGGAACUUUAUAACAUUUUGACCUUAGUGAAGCCUUCUUUUGUGUUACCAGAUGAGCUAAAAAAGUUUUGCCAGAAGCCGGAACAGAAAAAAGCAACGAAAGAAUGGAGUUGGCAACCGGAUUCAGGUUCUGAUGAUAAGAUCAAGCAGUUGAAAUUGCUUAUGGAUCCCUUAGUUCAUGUACACAAAGGUGCGAUCCUUCAAAAGAAGCUUCCCGGGAUAAGGAAUCGCGUGCUGAGAUUGAAACCCGACAGUUUACAGAAGCAAACUAUUGACAGCAUACAAAGUUCUCAGAAAACAUUCAUCUUUGAGCAUAAGCUGACAAUGGCAUCCAUCCAUCCAUCGCUUUUUCUCGAAUGCGAUCUUUUAAAAAAGGAGGAAUCUGUUGUCGACAAGGACCUGCUAGAAAAGGUCAGAUUGGACCCCAACAAAGGCGUCAAAACAAAGUUUUUGGUUGAGUUUGUUAGACUAUGUGAUGCUGCAAGUGAGAAAGUUCUUGUGUUCAGCCAAUUCAUCAAACCAUUGCGCUUAAUUAUAGACCAAUUAAGCUUGGCUUGUAAUUGGACAGAAGGGAAGGAAAUGCUGUUCAUGGAUGGAGAAGUUGAUCUUAAAGGAAAGCAAUCUCUUAUCCAUAACUUCAAUGAUGCAAAAUGUCAAGCUAAGAUUCUUCUUGCAUCGGUUAAAGCUAAUUCCGAGGGAAUUAGCUUAGUCGGAGCUUCCAGAGUUGUGCUACUGGAUGUUGUAUGGAAUCCGUCUGUCAAACGACAGGCUAUCAGCAGAGCGUAUCGGAUUGGACAGAAGAGGGUUGUAUACACUUACCAUCUGCUAAUUGACGGGACUACCGAGUGCGUGAAACAUUGUAAGCAGGCCGAAAAGGACCGGUUAUCUGAACUUGUUUUUCAAGGUAAGAAUAAUGAUAAUGAUGAGUUGGAGAAGAGUGGUGUGGAGUUUGAAGACAGUAUUCUUGAGAAAAUGAUACAUCACAGAGAGCUCAAAGGCAUGUUUGUUGAGUGAGAAAGUUCAGCCAACGGAGCAAUAUUUGUGACAGAUGGACAAACUUAUGCCACCUCAGGAAAUUGUGUUUAUAAAAAUGUCUUUUCCAUUCCAUCCUCGUCUCAGACUCGUCUUCUCCAUAGGUUAAUGCAACUCAUCUUCUCCAUAGUAUACUACAAUUUGUCAUUUUCAAUCUCUUCUCCGAGUUGUUUUAAUUUGAAAUUAGGGUUUGAAAUGGGUGGUAGCAUAAAUUCUUCUAUCAGGAAUCCUAAUUGGAGAGAAAUACCCCGAUGUGGUUCAAUCUAUCAAUGAAGAUGUGGAUUUCAAACACCCACGAAAGCCCUAAGAGAAAGUUCUAGAAAUGCAAUUUUUUUUGGAAAGAGUGAUAUAAGUUAUGAGUUGUUCAUUUGGGAUGAUGAAGUUGACGAAUUGUUAUUGAACACUCGGAAUAAGGAAAGGUUCACAGGUGCAGAUAUUGAGUGUAACAAUUAUGAAGUAAUACUUGGUUAUCUGAAAGAAUUUGGCAACGAUUUUGGGAAACAUUUUGGCAAAGAAUAUGGGAAAGAUUCAAGCUCAAAGAAGGUUGGGAAAUUGAAGAAGCUGCUGUAAAUUGAAAGGAAAAAGACUUUUUACCAAUGGUUACCCUUAUUGUAUCAUGGAUAUUGUUAGCUAUUGUGUUCAAAAUGAAUUAACUAUCAAUGUAAUGUUCAACUUUGUUUCAAUGUAAUCUUGUUGGCUUGUUGUUGGUUUCAAUGUAAUGUUCUAAUGUUCAAGUUUGUAUCAUGGAUGUUGUUAGAUAUUGUGUUCAAAAUGAAUCUUAACUGUCAA